UAGGGAAUCUUCGGCAAUGGGGGGAACCCUGACCGAGCAACGCCGCGUGAGUGAAGAAGGUUUUCGGAUCGUAAAGCUCUGUUGUUAAGGAAGAACGAGUGUGAGAAUGGAAAGUUCAUACUGUGACGGUACUUAACCAGAAAGGGACGGCUAACUACGUGCCAGCAGCCGCGGUAAUACGUAGGUCCCGAGCGUUGUCCGGAUUUAUUGGGCGUAAAGCGAGCGCAGGCGGUUAGAUAAGUCUGAAGUUAAAGGCAGUGGCUCAACCAUUGUAGGCUUUUGAAACGGUUUAACUUGAGUGCAGAAGGGGAGAGUGGAAUUCCAUGUGUAGCGGUGAAAUGCGUAGAUAUAUGGAGGAACACCGGUGGCGAAAGCGGCUCUCUAGACUGUAACUGCCGCUGAGGCUCGAAAGCGUGGGGAGCGAACAGG
RNAcentral lists this ribosomal RNA (429 nucleotides) under Bacteroidota bacterium. Its description in RNAcentral is "Bacteroidetes bacterium partial 16S ribosomal RNA". It matches the Rfam family "Bacterial small subunit ribosomal RNA", at positions 355 to 776 of the family's 1533-position model. The record is from RNAcentral. Lineage: Bacteria; Pseudomonadati; Bacteroidota.